Molecule: small RNA, 77 nt
Filed under: Sinorhizobium meliloti 2011
Lineage: Bacteria; Pseudomonadati; Pseudomonadota; Alphaproteobacteria; Hyphomicrobiales; Rhizobiaceae
Description: putative ncRNA
Source: RNAcentral
AACAGGCGAAAUCGCCCCAUUCGCUCGGGAAUGCAAAGGUUUGACUUGACUGGCGGGCCACCUGUGACUAUAGAACC